RNAcentral lists this ribosomal RNA (253 nucleotides) under uncultured bacterium. Its description in RNAcentral is "partial 16S ribosomal RNA". It matches the Rfam family "Bacterial small subunit ribosomal RNA", at positions 524 to 776 of the family's 1533-position model. The record is from RNAcentral.
UACGAAGGGGGCUAGCGUUGCUCGGAAUCACUGGGCGUAAAGCGCACGCAGGCGGUUCGCCAAGUUUGGAGUGACAGUUGUCGGCUCAACCGACAAAGGACUUCAAAAACUGGUGAACUUGAGGACGAGAGAGGAACAUGGAACUCCAGGUGUAGUAGUGAAAUGCGUAGAUAUCUGGAAGAACACCAAUGGCGAAGGCAAUGUUCUGGCUCGUUUCUGACGCUCAGGUGCGAAAGCCAGGGGAGCGAACGGG